RNAcentral lists this ribosomal RNA (253 nucleotides) under uncultured bacterium. RNAcentral describes it as "partial 16S ribosomal RNA". It matches the Rfam family "Bacterial small subunit ribosomal RNA", at positions 524 to 776 of the family's 1533-position model. The record is from RNAcentral.
UACGUAGGGUGCGAGCGUUAAUCGGAAUUACUGGGCGUAAAGCGUGCGCAGGCGGUUCGUGAAGUCCGAUGUGAAAGCCCUGGGCUCAACCUAGGAACUGCAUUGGAAACUGGCGGGCUAGAGUGUGGCAGAGGGGGGUGGAAUUCCUGGUGUAGCAGUGAAAUGCGUAGAGAUCAGGAGGAACACCGAUGGCGAAGGCAGCCCCCUGGGCUAACACUGACGCUCAGGCACGAAAGCGUGGGGAGCAAACAGG